Molecule: ribosomal RNA, 372 nt
Filed under: uncultured bacterium
Lineage: Bacteria
Description: bacterial SSU rRNA
Rfam family: Bacterial small subunit ribosomal RNA
Source: RNAcentral
UACGGAGGAUGCAAGCGUUAUCCGGAUUCAUUGGGUUUAAAGGGUGCGCAGGCGGAUUGGUAAGUCAGUGGUGAAAUUCAACGGCUCAACUGUUGAUCUGCCAUUGAUACUGUCAGUCUAGAGUAUAGUUGGAGUGGGCGGAAUGUGUCAUGUAGCGGUGAAAUGCUUAGAUAUGACACAGAACACCGAUCGCGAAGGCAGCUCACUAAGCUAAAACUGACGCUCAUGCACGAAAGCGUGGGGAUCAAACAGGAUUAGAUACCUUGGUAGUCCACGCUGUAAACGAUGAUUACUCGAUGUUGGCGAUACACAGUCAGCGUCUGAACGAAAGUAUUAAGUAAUCCACCUGGGGAGUACGUUCGCAAGGAUGAA